This 1407-nucleotide ribosomal RNA is filed under the name uncultured bacterium. Its description in RNAcentral is "bacterial SSU rRNA". It matches the Rfam family "Bacterial small subunit ribosomal RNA". The record is from RNAcentral.
AGAGUUUGAUCCUGGCUCAGGAUGAACGCUGGCGGCGUGCCUAACACAUGCAAGUCGAACGGAGUUGUGCAUCGGAAGUUUUCGGAUGGAAGAUGCAAAACUUAGUGGCGGACGGGUGAGUAACGCGUGGGUAACCUGCCGUAUACAGGGGGAUAACAGUUGGAAACAACUGCUAAUACCGCAUAAGCGCACACUGUCGCAUGACAGAGUGUGAAAAUUUCCGGAGGUAUACGAUGGACCCGCGUCUGAUUAGCCAGUUGGCAGGGUAACGGCCUACCAAAGCAACGAUCAGUAGCCGGCCUGAGAGGGUGGACGGCCACAUUGGUACUGAGACACGGACCAAACUCCUACGGGAGGCAGCAGUGAGGAAUAUUGGUCAAUGGACGCAAGUCUGAACCAGCCAUGCCGCGUGCAGGAAGACGGCUCUAUGAGUUGUAAACUGCUUUUGUACGAGGGUAAACGCAGAUACGCGUAUCUGUCUGAAAGUAUCGUACGAAUAAGGAUCGGCUAACUCCGUGCCAGCAGCCGCGGUAAUACGGAGGAUUCAAGCGUUAUCCGGAUUUAUUGGGUUUAAAGGGUGCGUAGGCGGUCGGAUAAGUUAGAGGUGAAAUCCCGGGGCUCAACUUCGGAAUUGCCUCUGAUACUGUUCGGCUAGAGAGUAGUUGCGGUAGGCGGAAUGUAUGGUGUAGCGGUGAAAUGCUUAGAGAUCAUACAGAACACCGAUUGCGAAGGCAGCUUACCAAGCUACUUCUGACGUUGAGGCACGAAAGCGUGGGGAGCAAACAGGAUUAGAUACCCUGGUAGUCCACGCAGUAAACGAUGAUAACUCGUUGUCGGCGAUACAGUGUCGGUGACUAAGCGAAAGCGAUAAGUUAUCCACCUGGGGAGUACGUUCGCAAGAAUGAAACUCAAAGGAAUUGACGGGGGCCCGCACAAGCGGAGGAACAUGUGGUUUAAUUCGAUGAUACGCGAGGAACCUUACCCGGGCUUGAAAGUUAGUGACGGAUCUUGAAAGAGGUCUUCCCUUCGGGGCACGAAACUAGGUGCUGCAUGGUUGUCGUCAGCUCGUGCCGUGAGGUGUCGGGUUAAGUCCCAUAACGAGCGCAACCCCUACCGUUAGUUGCCAGCAGGUCAAGCUGGGCACUCUGACGGGACUGCCGGUGUAAGCCGAGAGGAAGGUGGGGAUGACGUCAAAUCAGCACGGCCCUUACGUCCGGGGCUACACACGUGUUACAAUGGCAGGUACAGAGGGCAGCUACCCAGCGAUGGGAUGCGAAUCUCGAAAGCCUGUCUCAGUUCGGAUUGGAGGCUGAAACCCGCCUCCAUGAAGUUGGAUUCGCUAGUAAUCGCGCAUCAGCCAUGGCGCGGUGAAUACGUUCCCGGGCCUUGCACUCACCGCCCGUCAAG